GGGAUCUUCGGACCUUUCGGUUAAGGGAGAGUCUAUGGGAUAUCAGCUUGUUGGUGGGGUAAUGGCCUACCAAGGCUUUGACGUCUAGGCGGAUUGAGAGAUUGACCGCCAACACUGGGACUGAGACACUGCCCAGACUUCUACGGAAGGCUGCAGUCGAGAAUCUUUCGCAAUGGACGAAAGUCUGACGAAGCGACGCCGCGUGUGUGAUGAAGGCUCUAGGGUUGUAAAGCACUUUCGCUUGGGAAUAAGAAAGAUUGGCUAAUAUCCAAUCGAUUUGAGCGUACCAGGUAAAGAAGCA
Molecule: ribosomal RNA, 301 nt
Filed under: Chlamydia gallinacea
Lineage: Bacteria; Pseudomonadati; Chlamydiota; Chlamydiia; Chlamydiales; Chlamydiaceae
Description: bacterial SSU rRNA
Rfam family: Bacterial small subunit ribosomal RNA
Source: RNAcentral